UAUGGAACCACUGUUGUGUGCUCCGCUGCAUUACGUCAAAGGCAAAUACGCCCUCUAAUCGGUGUGGACUUGCACGCACCGGUCGGGCUUGAUAAUCUCAAG
This 102-nucleotide unclassified non-coding RNA is filed under the name Artemisia eranthema. RNAcentral describes it as "Turaniphytum eranthemum partial miscellaneous RNA". Lineage: Eukaryota; Viridiplantae; Streptophyta; Magnoliopsida; Asterales; Asteraceae. The record is from RNAcentral.